CAAACUGGAGAUGGCGACCGGCGCACGGGUGAGUAACACGUAUCCAACCUGCCGAUAACUCGGGGAUAGCCUUUCGAAAGAAAGAUUAAUACCCGAUGGCAUAAUAGAACCGCAUGGUUUGAUUAUUAAAGAAUUUCGGUUAUCGAUGGGGAUGCGUUCCAUUAGGCAGUUGGUGGGGUAACGGCCCACCAAACCUACGAUGGAUAGGGGUUCUGAGAGGAAGGUCCCCCACAUUGGAACUGAGACACGGUCCAAACUCCUACGGGAGGCAGCAUG
Molecule: ribosomal RNA, 276 nt
Filed under: uncultured bacterium
Lineage: Bacteria
Description: partial 16S ribosomal RNA
Rfam family: Bacterial small subunit ribosomal RNA
Source: RNAcentral